AAGGAUGCGGGUCUACCAUGCAGUCGACGAUGAAGCCCAGCUUGCUGGGUGGAUUAGUGGCGAACGGGUGAGUAACACGUGAGCAACCUGCCCCUGACUCUGGGAUAAGCGCUGGAAACGGCGUCUAAUACUGGAUAUGUCCCGUCACCGCAUGGUGUGCGGGUGGAAAGAUUUUUCGGUUGGGGAUGGGCUCGCGGCCUAUCAGCUUGUUGGUGAGGUAAUGGCUCACCAAGGCGUCGACGGGUAGCCGGCCUGAGAGGGUGACCGGCCACACUGGGACUGAGACACGGCCCAGACUCCUACGGGAGGCAGCAGUGGGGAAUAUUGCACAAUGGGCGGAAGCCUGAUGCAGCAACGCCGCGUGAGGGAUGACGGCCUUCGGGUUGUAAACCUCUUUUAGCAGGGAAGAAGCGAAAGUGACGGUACCUGCAGAAAAAGCACCGGCUAACUACGUGCCAGCAGCCGCGGUAAUACGUAGGGUGCAAGCGUUAUCCGGAAUUAUUGGGCGUAAAGAGCUCGUAGGCGGUCUGUCGCGUCUGCUGUGAAAUCCCGAGGCUCAACCUCGGGCUUGCAGUGGGUACGGGCAGACUAGAGUGCGGUAGGGGAGAUUGGAAUUCCUGGUGUAGCGGUGGAAUGCGCAGAUAUCAGGAGGAACACCGAUGGCGAAGGCAGAUCUCUGGGCCGUAACUGACGCUGAGGAGCGAAAGGGUGGGGAGCAAACAGGCUUAGAUACCCUGGUAGUCCACCCCGUAAACGUUGGGAACUAGUUGUGGGGUCCUUUCCACGGAUUCCGUGACGCAGCUAACGCAUUAAGUUCCCCGCCUGGGGAGUACGGCCGCAAGGCUAAAACUCAAAGGAAUUGACGGGGACCCGCACAAGCGGCGGAGCAUGCGGAUUAAUUCGAUGCAACGCGAAGAACCUUACCAAGGCUUGA
RNAcentral lists this ribosomal RNA (934 nucleotides) under Microbacterium sp. RNAcentral describes it as "bacterial SSU rRNA". It matches the Rfam family "Bacterial small subunit ribosomal RNA", at positions 38 to 984 of the family's 1533-position model. Lineage: Bacteria; Bacillati; Actinomycetota; Actinomycetes; Micrococcales; Microbacteriaceae. The record is from RNAcentral.